UACGGAGGGGGCUAGCGUUGUUCGGAAUUACUGGGCGUAAAGCGCGCGUAGGCGGACCUGCAAGUCGGGGGUGAAAGCCCGAGGCUCAACCUCGGAACUGCCUUUGAUACUGCGGGUCUCGAGUCCGGGAGAGGUGAGUGGAAUUCCUAGUGUAGAGGUGAAAUUCGUAGAUAUUAGGAAGAACACCAGUGGCGAAGGCGGCUCACUGGCCCGGUACUGACGCUGAGGCGCGAAAGCGUGGGGAGCAAACAGG
Molecule: ribosomal RNA, 253 nt
Filed under: uncultured bacterium
Lineage: Bacteria
Description: partial 16S ribosomal RNA
Rfam family: Bacterial small subunit ribosomal RNA
Source: RNAcentral